This 203-nucleotide long non-coding RNA is filed under the name Mytilus galloprovincialis (Mediterranean mussel). The record is from RNAcentral. Lineage: Eukaryota; Metazoa; Mollusca; Bivalvia; Mytilida; Mytilidae.
GAAAUUGAUAGAUAUGCUACUCCAACUCAUGGACUGGUUAACUGUUCUUGGUAUGCUCCUAAGGCGUGCUGUAAAACUACAGAAGUCAUAUCAGUGUUUACCAAAAUGUUUCCUUUGUAUGAAGCUUCACAGGCAUGUCAGAACCAACUUAAUUAUAUGAUGUGCUUUUUCAGUGACCCAAAUCAAAGAAUUUGGUAUAAUCA